This 1122-nucleotide long non-coding RNA is filed under the name Homo sapiens (human). Its description in RNAcentral is "non-protein coding lnc-PRR26-5:1". Lineage: Eukaryota; Metazoa; Chordata; Mammalia; Primates; Hominidae. The record is from RNAcentral.
ACAUACAACACUCAUACAACACACAUUCAUACAACACAACACUCAUACAACAUACAAAACAUACAACUCACAAAUACAUGUACAACACACUCAUACAACACAUAACACUCAAACAUACAAUGAAUGCAACUCAACACAACAUGCACAUACAACACACAUACAACCCAUGCCACUCACAUACAACACAACACGCUCAUACAACACAUUCAUACAACACAUACUGUACAGAUUCUAAGUAUGAAAUAGAAAACAGCACAUGCACAGUUUCUAAAGUAUGACAAAAGCUUUUUUCAAGAAGGUCAUCCAACAUCCAAACUGGUAACAUGUCCUCAUUUUCAGCUGCUGUUCAGAUUCAAGCAUGUUUAUCAUCUGCUCCAUGAAUUACAAUAAUAUAGCAUAAACCCUUUUUUCAUUUUACACCCACUUUGGUGUGGGGUGCUCCAAAACAGGGGCCAGGAGCCUCAGUCAUCCCUCGGAACAAAACACAACUCACACUCAGAGGCCAGGAAGGGAACUCGGGGGGCGACACACACUCUCUCAUCUGCAGAGCUCUGCUUCAAUUACUUUACAUGUAACCGCGGCUGGAACGGGGUUGGUGACGGUACAGACACGGCAAACUGAGGAGAAAUUGGCAGGUGGAGAAAGAUCAGCCAGAAUCCAAGGAAAAAUGCUGAGCAUUUUCCACAAAUAGUUCACACAACGGACAAUAGUUGGGCUACUGAAAGUUUAUUGAGAGGGGUCUUGCUCCAAAGAAAAAGUUCUUUCCCAAGGUUAUCAAAGACUCACAGCAGACCCCGGCCCCCAACACACCAUCUGCAGAGGGCCUGUUAGUCAAAAAGAAGACAAGACAGAAGCAAGGGGGUGCGGGGGGAGGAGAGCAAGAGGGGACCGAGAACUCGGAACCAAGUGAUGGGCAGACACUGAAUGCCUGACUCCAGGGUUAUCGCCUCAGAAAACAAGUCCGUUUAAGCCCGUGGUAACAGUGUUAGCGCUUUCACUGAACCUGCACUCAACACUGGAGAACCUCCCUGCAUUAUGAAGAUGAGCCGAAAAAUAACAUUAAUUCACAAUGUAGAGUGAUGAUUCAGCCACAGAAAAUAAAACUGAUAUAAUCCACUACAA